Eublepharis macularius is the source of this 75-nucleotide non-coding RNA. Lineage: Eukaryota; Metazoa; Chordata; Lepidosauria; Squamata; Eublepharidae. The record is from the annotation of a RefSeq genome assembly.
GGAGGGGCCAUAGCUCAAUAGUAGAGCAUCUGCUUUGUAUGCAGAAGGUCCCAGGUUCAAUCCCUGGCUUUUCCA